GAUUGAACGCUGGCGGUAUGCUUAACACAUGCAAGUCGAACGGAAACGAUACUAGCUUGCUAGUAGGCGUCGAGUGGCGGACGGGUGAGUAACGCGUAGGAAUCUGCCUGAUAGUGGGGGAUAGCCCGAAGAAAUUCGGAUUAAUACCGCAUAAUCUAUUUGUAGUAAAGUGGGGGACUUUCGAGCCUCACGCUAUCAGAUGAGCCUGCGUAAGAUUAGCUUGUUGGUAGGGUAAAAGCCUACCAAGGCAACGAUCUUUAGCUGGUCUGAGAGGAUGAUCAGCCACAUCGGGACUGAGACACGGCCCGAACUCCUACGGGAGGCAGCAGUGGGGAAUAUUGGACAAUGGGGGCAACCCUGAUCCAGCAAUACCGCGUGUGUGAAGAAGGCCUGAGGGUUGUAAAGCACUUUCAAUUGUGAAGAAAAGUUAACGGUUAAUAACCGUUAGCCUUGACGUUAACUUUAGAAGAAGCACCGGCUAACUCCGUGCCAGCAGCCGCGGUAAUACGGAGGGUGCAAGCGUUAAUCGGAAUUACUGGGCGUAAAGCGUGCGUAGGCGGUUUAUUAAGUCAGAUGUGAAAGCCCCGGGCUUAACCUGGGAACUGCAUUUGAAACUGGUCAACUAGAGUAUGGUAGAGGAAAGUGGAAUUUCUGGUGUAGCGGUGAAAUGCGUAGAUAUCAGAAGGAACAUCAAUGGCGAAGGCAGCUUUCUGGACCAAUACUGACGCUGAGGUACGAAAGCGUGGGUAGCAAACAGGAUUAGAUACCCUGGUAGUCCACGCCGUAAACGAUGAUAACUAGCCGUUGGGGGGAUUUACCCUUUAGUGGCGAAGCUAACGCGUUAAGUUAUCCGCCUGGGGAGUACGGCCGCAAGGUUAAAACUCAAAGGAAUUGACGGGGACCCGCACAAGCGGUGGAGCAUGUGGUUUAAUUCGAUGCAACGCGAAGAACCUUACCUGGUCUUGACAUCCUGCGAACUUUCUAGAAAUAGAUUGGUGCCUUCGGGAACGCAGUGACAGGUGCUGCAUGGCUGUCGUCAGCUCGUGUCGUGAGAUGUUGGGUUAAGUCCCGUAACGAGCGCAACCCCUAUCCUUAUUUGCCAGCACGUCAUGGUGGGAACUAUAAGGAGACUGCCGGUGAUAAACCGGAGGAAGGCGGGGACGACGUCAAGUCAUCAUGGCCCUUACGACCAGGGCUACACACGUGCUACAAUGGGAAGGACAAAGAGCCGCGAAGCCGCGAGGUGUAGCUAAUCUCAGAAAUCUUUUCGUAGUCCGGAUUGGAGUCUGCAACUCGACUCCAUGAAGUCGGAAUCGCUAGUAAUCGUAGAUCAGAAUGCUACGGUGAAUACGUUCCCGGGUCUUGUACACACCGCC
RNAcentral lists this ribosomal RNA (1376 nucleotides) under uncultured bacterium. RNAcentral describes it as "bacterial SSU rRNA". It matches the Rfam family "Bacterial small subunit ribosomal RNA", at positions 27 to 1394 of the family's 1533-position model. The record is from RNAcentral.